UGAGGAAUAUUGGUCAAUGGGCGAGAGCCUGAACCAGCCAAGUAGCGUGCAGGAAGACGGCCCUAUGGGUUGUAAACUGCUUUUGUAUGGGGAUAAAGUCAAUCACGUGUGAUUGUUUGCAGGUACCAUACGAAUAAGGACCGGCUAAUUCCGUGCCAGCAGCCGCGGUAAUACGGAAGGUCCGGGCGUUAUCCGGAUUUAUUGGGUUUAAAGGGAGCGUAGGCUGGAGAUUAAGUGUGUUGUGAAAUGUAGACGCUCAACGUCUGACUUGCAGCGCAUACUGGUUUCCUUGAGUACGCACAACGUUGGCGGAAUUCGUCGUGUAGCGGUGAAAUGCUUAGAUAUGACGAAGAACUCCGAUUGCGAAGGCAGCUGACGGGAGCGCAACUGACGCUGAAGCUCGAAGGUGCGGGUAUCGAACAGGAUUAGAUACCCUGGUAGUCCGCACAGUAAACGAUGGAUGCCCGCUGUUGGUACCUGGUAUCAGCGGCUAAGCGAAAGCAUUAAGCAUCCCACCUGGGGAGUACGCCGGCNACGGU
This 539-nucleotide ribosomal RNA is filed under the name uncultured bacterium. Its description in RNAcentral is "bacterial SSU rRNA". It matches the Rfam family "Bacterial small subunit ribosomal RNA", at positions 355 to 895 of the family's 1533-position model. The record is from RNAcentral.